AGCAUAUCAAUAAGCGGAGGAAAAGAAACCAACAGGGAUUGCCUCAGUAACGGCGAGUGAAGCGGCAACAGCUCAAAUUUGAAAUCUGGCUCUUUCAGGGUCCGAGUUGUAAUUUGUAGAAGAUGCUUCGGGCGUGGCUCCGGUCUAAGUUCCUUGGAACAGGACGUCAUAGAGGGUGAGAAUCCCGUAUGUGACUGGUGGCCUUCGCCCAUGUGAAGCUCUUUCGACGAGUCGAGUUGUUUGGGAAUGCAGCUCAAAAUGGGUGGUAAAUUUCAUCUAAAGCUAAAUAUUGGCCAGAGACCGAUAGCGCACAAGUAGAGUGAUCGAAAGAUGAAAAGCACUUUGGAAAGAGAGUUAAACAGUACGUGAAAUUGUUGAAAGGGAAGCGCUUGCAACCAGACUUGCGCGCGGCCGAUCAUCCGGGGUUCUCCCCGGUGCACUCGGUCGCGCUCAGGCCAGCAUCGGUUUCGGGGGUGGGAUAAAGGCCCGAGGAAUGUAGCUCCCCUCGGGGAGUGUUAUAGCCUCGGGUGCAAUGCCGCCUCCCGGGACCGAGGACCGCGCUUCGGCUAGGAUGCUGGCGUAAUGGUUGUAAGCGACCCGUCUUGAAACACGGACCAAGGAGUCUAACAUCUAUGCGAGUGUUUGGGUGUCAAACCCAUACGCGUAAUGAAAGUGAACGGAGGUGAGAACCCUUAAGGGUGCAUCAUCGACCGAUCCUGAUGUCUUCGGAUGGAUUUGAGUAAGAGCAUAGCUGUUGGGACCCGAAAGAUGGUGAACUAUGCGUGAAUAGGGUGAAGCCAGAGGAAACUCUGGUGGAGGCUCGCAGCGGUUCUGACGUGCAAAUCGAUCGUCAAAUUUGCGCAUAGGGGCGAAAGACUAAUCGAACCAUCUAGUAGCUGGUUCCUGCCGAAGUCCCCCU
This 919-nucleotide ribosomal RNA is filed under the name Roseodiscus rhodoleucus. Its description in RNAcentral is "LSU rRNA". It matches the Rfam family "Eukaryotic large subunit ribosomal RNA", at positions 37 to 973 of the family's 3401-position model. The record is from RNAcentral. Lineage: Eukaryota; Fungi; Ascomycota; Leotiomycetes; Helotiales.